UCGGGAAUUUUGGGCAAUGGGCGAAAGCCUGACCCAGCAACGCCGCGUGAAGGAUGAAGUAUUUCGGUAUGUAAACUUCGAAAGAAUAGGAAGAAUAAAUGACGGUACUAUUUAUAAGGUCCGGCUAACUACGUGCCAGCAGCCGCGGUAAUACGUAGGGACCAAGCGUUGUCCGGAUUUAUUGGGCGUAAAGAGCUCGUAGGCGGUUCAGUAAGUCGGGUGUGAAAACUUUGGGCUUAACCCAAAGCGUGCAUCCGAUACUGCUGUGACUUGAGUACGGUAGGGGAGCGGGGAAUUCCUAGUGUAGCGGUGAAAUGCGCAGAUAUUAGGAGGAACACCGGUGGCGAAGGCGCCGCUCUGGGCCGAAACUGACGCUGAGGAGCGAAAGCAUGGGUAGCAAACAGGAUUAGAUACCCACGUAGUCCCUGAGCGGGCUGGCAAGGCGCAU
Molecule: ribosomal RNA, 448 nt
Filed under: uncultured bacterium
Lineage: Bacteria
Description: bacterial SSU rRNA
Rfam family: Bacterial small subunit ribosomal RNA
Source: RNAcentral